RNAcentral lists this long non-coding RNA (2206 nucleotides) under Phaseolus vulgaris (common bean). Its description in RNAcentral is "long non-coding RNA (PVUL_LNC002613)". The record is from RNAcentral. Lineage: Eukaryota; Viridiplantae; Streptophyta; Magnoliopsida; Fabales; Fabaceae.
GGUAGGCCGUGGAUAGUGGUAAAAACUGAUUGGUAAGCAUGAAAGAGGUUGGAAACAUGAUGGUGGAUAUUAGAUGGAGGUGGAGAAUGAGGAUGAGGGUCUGAUUUGGAAAACUAAGAGGUGAAAAGUGGAUAGUGGUAAAAACUGAUUGGUAAGCAUGAAAGAGGUUGAAAACAUAAUGGUGGAUAUUAGAUGGAGGUGGAGAAUGAGGAUGAGGGUCUGAUUUGGAAAACUAAGAGGUGAAAAGAUGCUACGGAAUUUGUGUGUAAAAGGUGAUAAAUAUUGGUGGUCGAAACAUGGUUAUCUAAAAGUUUAGUGGUACCUUGCAGAAUGAUGGGAAUGCCAUUAUGGUUGAAAGAGAGUUGAGGUGCAGAGAAAUAUGCUUGUAGGAGUCUAAGAGAAUAUAACCAAUCCAUGCCAAAGACUAAAUCAACACCUUCAAUAGGGAUUAAGUAGAAGGGAAUGGAGAAACAAUGUUGUUGAAUAGAAACAGUGAGGUUGAGGCAUAUAAAUGUGCAAUGUAUUUUGUCACCAUUGCCAACCAUUAUGGAAAAGGGUGUGAUCGGGAGACUACAAAGGUUAAGAAACGAGGUAAGACAAGGUUGGAGGAUGUUAUGAGAGCUGCUAGUGUCGAUUAAGAUGGUGACUGGGAGACUGACAAUGUAGCCUUGGAACUUAAAUGUGUGGGUUGAAGGUGUGCCGGAUAAAGCUUGAAGAGAUAGGUGGAUGUGAGAUGAGUCCACGGGUUCUUGGUCAUUGUCUAAGGUGGAAAUAGUAUCUGGUGAUGUAUCUGAGGGGCAUUCGUCUCCUAGUAACAACAAAAAACGUUUGGUUGCACAUUUCUGACCAUAAAUUUUUUUCUCAUCACAAUUGUAACAUAGGCCCGCGCGCUCUUCGUUCUUGAAGUUGGGCUGAAGAAAGUUUUUUUAUAGGAAGAGAUGAGGAUGUGGAUGGUAUAGCUGGUUGAAGAAAAAGGGGGCAAGGUGGGGGUAGCAAGUGUUGGGAAGGCUGAAACAGAAUGGCUAAGGAUUUUUAAAACGCUUGGUGUCAUUAUUCUUGGAUUCCAAGAGUUUGACAAGACCCAUGGCUUAGGUGAUGGAAGUAGGUUGGAGCAUAGCUAACUCACGUCUGAUUUUCGGAAUAAGGUUAGAGAUGAAACAAUUAAGGAUCAUUUCUGGAGUGAGGCCUAAAACUUGAUUGCAUAGUUUUUCAAACGUUCUCUGGUAUUCAAUGAUAAUGCUAUUUUGGCAUAGUUUGAACAGUUCCACUUGAUGUGGAGGGUCCAAAACGUAGUUCUAGAGCACGACUAAAAGAAAUCCAAUCAUUGCAUUGGUGAUUUUGAUACAUCCACUUGAACCAACUUAGAGCAUCACCAUGCAUAUAAAAAGUCGCCAUGUGUAGGCGAGAGUCCCAAGCUAUGUUAUAAAAUUAGAAAAACUGAUGAGUUUGAAAGAGCCAAUCCAGGGGAUCCGAGCCAUAAAAAAUGAGAGUUGUAUUUUGGGUGGUCUAGGCAUGGUUGAGAUAAGAGGGGAAGAAGAAAUUGGUGGGGGAAGAAUGGUUGUAGUGGUAGCAAAAAUAGAGGAGGUGGUGUUAAAGAUUAGGGGUGUGAUAGGCGAGAUUGUUUCUACAGAAAAAGGUAUCGAAGGGUUUGGGGGCAAGUCAUUGGGUUGAAAAAGAGUUGCAGGGAUGGCAGUUAAGAGAGUGUUGAUGGUGUGGGUGAAAGAUUCAUGCUUUGUUUCCAUGCUAUUUGGUGGUUUUCUAAAGUUUGGUGAAGGCUAUUGUAUCGAUUUUCAUGAUGUUCAUGGUGUUAUGGAGUUGGGUUUGGAGGUUAGCUAAUUUGUCUAGGAUGAAUUGGAGGGUUUCAUCUAGGUCUUUGUUUGGUUUGGGAGGCAUGGUGCAGGCUCAAUGAAAGCACCAAUUGAUAUGCAAUUGCAUAAGAAAAAAGAACACAAGGCCUACGAAACAGGGGUUAACACCCCAUGGAAAUCUAUUUAAAAAUAAAAUUUCAUUGUCCUUUUCUUUCUAUCAGAGGUCUUAUAAAGACCAUUUUUCAUUGGUGGACAACUGACCUAAGUUAACAGAAAAAGAAAACAAAAAAGAUCUUCCAAGAUCCUCACAAACAGAUAGACAUUCAUAAAUAAUCCUAGAUAAAAUUUUUUAGCCAUGUGAACUUAGAUGUCUUUUUAAUGGGCAUUUGAGGAAUGAG